Non-coding RNA from Parelaphostrongylus tenuis, 71 nucleotides. NCBI's taxonomy places the organism in Eukaryota, Metazoa, Nematoda, Chromadorea, Rhabditida, Metastrongylidae. The record is from the annotation of a GenBank genome assembly.
GCCGGUAGUGCAACGGCUUAGCACGCUCUGCCAGAAAGAGUGAAAUGUGGGUUCGAAUCCCAGCUGACGCG